Molecule: unclassified non-coding RNA, 344 nt
Filed under: soil metagenome
Description: partial contains 5.8S ribosomal RNA, internal transcribed spacer 2, and large subunit ribosomal RNA
Rfam family: 5.8S ribosomal RNA (bases 1-120)
Source: RNAcentral
GAUGAAGGACGUAGCGAAAUGCGAUACGUAAUGUGAAUUGCAGAAUUCAGUGAAUCAUCGAGUCUUUGAACGCACAUUGCGCCCCCUGGUAUUCCGGGGGGCAUGCCUGUCCGAGCGUCAUUGCUGCCCUCAAGCACGGCUUGUGUGUUGGGCCUCCGUCCUCCUCCCGGGGGACGGGCCCGAAAGGCAGCGGCGGCACCGCGUCCGGUCCUCGAGCGUAUGGGGCUUUGUCACCCGCUCUGUAGGCCCGGCCGGCGCCAGCCGACAACCCAUCAUCCUUUUCAGGUUGACCUCGGAUCAGGUAGGGAUACCCGCUGAACUUAAGCAUAUCAAUAAGCGGAGGA